CAUCACCCAGAGACCUAAAAUUAGGAUGAAAGUCUGUGGAUGCAACCUUUGGGGUGAUUUAUAUACACACAUGUGGCCAGUGGUCCUAAGCGUUUGCCACAAAGCCAAGUGGCAGGUAUAGUACUUGUAGUCUAGAUACAGCAGUUUAAUUACCAUAAACCUCCAAAUAAAUUAAGUUGUUUCAAGGAAAGAACAUAGUGAGCCAGUUUGGAUGAUCAGAUCUCAGUUUGAUAAAUAUGCACUGUGAUUAGAAACCUCUAAUAGGGGGUUGUAUCCUAUUCUUGUCCUGUACAGAGCAGACCCAUUGAAAUUAAUGGAUGUGAUUAAUUUAGGUCAAUGGGUCUAGUCUUGAGUAAAACUUGGUUGGAUGCAACCUAUAAUUCUCCAUUCCAUCCAGCCUGGGAAACUAUAGUUACCAGCUUUGUCACAAGCCAGGAUCAUAGAAUCAUAGAAUUGGAAGGGACCAGAAGGGUCAACUAAUCCCAACCCCCUGUAAUGCAGGAAUCUUUGGCCCAACGUGAGACCACCUUCAAAUAACUUAAACCACCUUCAGAUAAGUUAACUGUAUCUUGGCUUGCACCUAAGUGGUUAACCAUGUUUUUCCCCAGAAAUGGUUGUAGGGUUUUUAAACUUCCUGGUUUGUUUACUUUUGUACCGUGAAAUAGUUGCAUGUACUAGCGAAAGGCUUGUGCUUUUUUGGGGGAGGGUACAGGGAAAGCACUGUAUUGCUAGUGAUUCAGAAAGGGGCAAACACAAUGGUUUUCCACGACCCGACCACGAUGAAAGCCAAUUAGUACAAGCAUGAGCUGGACUAAUCUCAGAAACAAGCUCCUCCCACUUUGAAGAACACACAGAAACCACUUUAUCAGUUGUGCAUAACUGCUCCACCGUCUCUCCAGAAUGGCUUCCAGAAUGGCUCCAGAAAUUUGUGUAUUAAGUGGCAAGUAGUAGCCUCUUUGAUCGCCUGGACCAAGGGCAUGGGGGGACUGUGGCCCUCCAGAUGCCCUUGGACUCCAGCUCCCACCAGCACCUGCCAGGUUUGCUCCAAAGAAGAAAAGAAACAAGGCUCUUAGCAGCAACUGGUCCAUUUUAAACGCUGUUGUGCAGAUAAAGAAAGGAUGACUUCUAAGUACAGCAUGGGAGCCACUAUUCCAAAAUACCAAGUGAGCACAUUCUCUUCUGAGACAUGACUCAAUAACUGAGAUAAACAAAAGGAGGGAAAGGGUGAGGGAGGGCAGGAGUUAGACAGUAAGUCGGCGCGGUUACAAAGGUCAUAGUUGUGCAACCUUGAAGGUACUAAAUAUAUGCUGUAUUUAGAAAUAAAUAACAUCAGCUGUUUCGUGCCUAAUGAUACAGUCUUUGCUUCAGAGGCAUGAUUUAAAGGAGGAUGGGGUGAGGUUUUAAAGGAGGAUGGAGUAAGUUCAGGGUGCUUUGCUCUGUGUGCUUUAUAGAACUGGAAGUCGGAGGACAGGAGCCAAGGCACUUUGCCCAUGCCCAGUAAUUAAAUAUGGCACAAAUAAAUGAAGAAAGGGGAGAGAAAAGAGGCCCCUGGGUCACCCCCUUUUACCAUUUAAAAAGAGCAAUAUAUUCUCUUUUUGGCUUCAAGGACAAAAAAUGUGGUUCAAGUUAGACUAGAGAACUGUGGAUACAACUGGUCAUGUAUUUGCAGCCAGUUCAAUCACCAGGUAGAAAUGUAAGCAUUGCUAAUUGCUUUGCAUCAGGGCAAAUGCAGGAAGAAGGAGAGAGUUGCUGCAACCGUACCCUCAGAAUAGUUUACACGUAUCAGUAGUUCUGAGGAGCCACCAGAUCCAGUCACCUCUUUGUCCUUCAGACAUACCCGCCGCCCCCCAAAUCACCCUCAGGGCUACAGGAACAGAGCCAAGCAGAAGCUUCAAUGCUGUCAGUAAAGUGGCCAGCUAGAUAGCUAUAUGGGAGGUUACUUGGGAGGUGCAUGUAAGAACUUGCCUAGAUCAGGGUCUGGCUGAGGGCCAGGAAGGGUUGGAGUUCAGCUCUCCUAUAUAAGCUCUCAGUCCGAGCCGCUUGAACUGCUGAAGUAAUAAUUUGUAAUUUGCAAGCCUUAGGCUUCCAAAUUUAGCCUUUCUGGACUGAGGGAAAUGAAUGGGGGUGAACUGAUUUGACGGGCUAGCUCAGUUGGCAGAACAUGAGACUUACUAAUCUCAAAGUCAUGGGUUUGAGCCCCAUGUUGGGCAAAAGAUUCCCACAUUGCAAGGGGUUGAACUAGAUGACCUUCAUGGUUCCGUCCAACUAUAUAGUUCUCUGAUUCUGUAUGCUCUUCAAAGAAUGUAAAUUUGAAAAAGCUGCAAUUGUAUUUCAGAGCUCUGCAAGACUGUUGAAACCGAUCAGAAAUGUGUGGAUCAGUUCUGCUGCGCUGUCAAAAUCUCAACAUUUUGCACCAAUCUAUGUGAAUGCCCCUGUGUUUAACGAUUCUCCUUUGUUUUUCUUGAUGCUGAAAGCUGGAUUUAUCAUCUGGCUUUGGUCUCAAGGCUGUUUCUCCACUGAUCCUGUCUGUACCCCCUCCUUGAACCAUUUUUGGAACAAUCAACAAUUUAGUCUAAAAUCAUGCUGGAUGUUUGGGCUGGAAAGCUUAGUUUAUUUUGUCCCUCUUUUCAAGGACUUAAGAUGUUGCUGCAGGCAGCAGUUAGUCUAGAGAAAGCGGGCUAAUGGCUAGUCCGUGAUGUUUGUACUUUAUAAAAUAUUGUUUUCGAAGCUUGUUCCCUUGGUUCUGACGCCAGCCAGCCCUGUGAACUUGAGCAGUGAUGUUUGAUCAAGCUGACUCAUUGCUAUCAACCUCUGUUUCCUUGUAUGUAAAACAGGAUUAAUAGAAAGAUGUAUUGGUUUCCAGAUGUUACAAAGAGCUAAGUACCAUUGCUCAAAUAUUUUAUGUGUUAAAUCCUUGCAGUUGUAGGAGAGCAUUCUGAUAGGUUGCUUUUUUUAUUUAUUGGAAUACCAUGUGCAAAAGGGACAAGAGAGACAGCCAGCUUUAUAAGUGUCAGCUUUGCCUGUUUUGACACUGGAUUUCAUGGAGGUACUUUUGAUGUAUUCUUCUUAGCCAUAAUGAUUUUUGUUUUGUCUAACAGAUUCAUCUUUAGCUCAGUGCUUUAAUUUCAAAGGGCUUUCAAGCCCUCACCUUGAAAAGGCUAUUGGUGAAACAGAAAUGUCUGAAGGAAGGAGUGACUUCAAAUAGUUUUUGGAGAGGAGCAUACUGGAUAUUUUGCUAGUAGCAGCAAAGGCAGAUUUCUCCCCUUCUGCCACUUCACAAACAUUACAUUUGUCAUAGCAGUAAUGACAAGUAUUCUAAGGUGUGGGUUCUCUGUUGCAUUUACGUUUUGUAGUGCUUUGUGGCAAAGUGUGGGGGCUGUUACUGUCAAGAAACAGUACUUUGCCAAUAGACAAAACUAAAGAGCAAUGUUUAAGUAAUAACAAGCAAGUUUGCAGAAAAGCUAGCCCAUUAUAUGGAGAGCAAGGAAGGUUUUAAACUGUUGCCUAGAGAGGCAAAGGGUCUAGUGGGCUUUCUUAAUACAUAUCACAGCACAUUCCUUGGAAGGCCUUGGGAUUAUAGACUGGAUGCUUUCCAAAAACUUAAAAGAAAUUUUUAAAAAUCCUUUCCCUCAUGUAAAGAAUGUGUGUUUUGAAAGUAGAGGAACUGAGUCAAAGUUUGCUUCUCUGCACAAUUACUAGCAUGGGAGAUGUGUGCGGCAUUCUGAAUUUAUAAAUAAGACUUAAGUGGUUCUUAGGGAAUUGUCCUCCCCUUCCAAAAAACCCCCCGUUAGAACAUUUGGCAUAUUUAGCUGAAUUAAUGGAUAAACUAAAUGGAAAAUACAGCUUUUAAAUACUUCUGUAGGUGCAAACCCUUUGUGGCUUACAAAAUAAAUGUUUGUCUUUUUUGCAAAUAUCAGUCCAAAGCUACUUAUUUUGGAAAAAUUAGUGGCACUCUCCAUUUUGCCUGUUUAAAGAAUAGUUUAUAAAAUUUACAUUCCUUUAGAAAUGGGGUGUGCUUCUCAUUACUAUUUACUAAUUACUCUUAUGUUCUUGACUGACUGUUCAUGCUGUAGAUGCAAAACCACUUGCGUGUUCACCUUAAGAACGUAACAUGCAAUGUGGAAAAUAGACUGCCCUUGAGAUCUUGUUGGACUUCACUUCCUAUCAGCCAUAGCCAGGGAUGAUGGCAGUUGUAGGCCAGCAACAUCUGGAAGGCCACAGCCAUUUCCCCGCCCUGGUAUUUAUACCAUUUAUAUUCUGUACCUUCAACAUGAUCAUAUUUGCAGACUGCUGGCAAAAAUGUAGUAAAAGCAGUAUACCGUACAAAAUAAUCAAACUAGCUAAACUAGUAACAAACCUCUAGAGGCCUCAAAGCUGCAUUUAAAGUUGGGGGGGGGCCUCAACAAAGAUCUCAAAAUAUUUUUUUAAAGCCUAGGGAAAUGUUUUAGCUGGACAUAGUCAGACCAUUGCCACAUCUACGGCAAUAUUUAUGUUGCUUGGCAGCAGCUUACCAUAAUUCACGUGGGUCAUCUGGUUGUAACUUUGAGCACCCACUUUCCAUGCAAAAGGUCUCUUCAAUCCAUGGCAUCUCCAUGUUGGGCAAGGAGAUGCUCCCUGUCUGAAACCUUGAGGAGCCACUGCCAAUCAGUGGAACCAAUACUGAGCUAGAUGGGCCAAUGAUCUGAUGUGUAGGAUAGCUUCCUAUAUUCUUAACUACUACCACGGGGGUAGUCAACAUGGAACCCACCAGAUCUGUGGACUACUAUGAAACUCUCCCAGCAUGGCUGAUGCACUGGAAUGAUGUGGAGUUGCAGACCACAACAUCUGUAGGGCACCACAUUGACUACCCCUGCUGUAAGGCAAAACAGCUGUAUUAUAUAUUGCAGAUGGCAGGCAAGGGACGCUGACUUACUGUGGGGGGGCUUCCCUAGUGACCUAGAGAAUUCAUGACAAAAUCAAAUUUAAAACCAGGGAAUUUGUCAUAACUCAGUCUCUUGAUAGAUGUGCUGCGCUAUACUAAGAAUGUCCACAUAGUACUGAAUUAAAUGGGGCUCACUUGAAAAUUAAGUAGUGUUGCAGUCUUGUCCUCCUUGUAUUAGUCUAAUCCUCCUUUAAAACAACUUUGUGUAAAACUUGGACUUGUUUAAACUUUUUCUUUCAUUCCAAGCUAUGUUUCAUUUUGUAAUGCUCUCUAAUUCCUCUGAACUUAUUCUGUGUUUCUCCCUAUUUUAUUUUCCUCUUUCUGAGCUGUCUCCUUCACACCUUAUAUUCACUUUAUUCCUUCUUCCCCACCCACUUUUCUUCUUCCUCCUCCUGCUUUUACUCUGGUUCUUAUGCAGCAUAUUUCAUUGUGAUUGAGCUGUAAUGUAUAAUUCAUCAAGCUGCGUUGAACCAUGAAGCUAUUGUAUGAAAGGGAGAUGGAGACAAGUUGAGCAAAUGAAAGGCUUAAUUCUAGUGUGGAGACUUGGCCUGCCCAGGCACAACGAAUGCCAGCCUUCAUUUCUGAAGAGCAUGUCAUUAAGCAUGGGAAUGGGUGGCCAUUAGGACUGCAGUGUCCCACCAAAAGCAACCCCCUUUUCUGUGCUUAAUCUCAGUGACUGAAAAUAACAAUGUCCAUUGUAAAGUGGCAUAGCUCUUCUGAGCAGUGACAUUGUUCUAAUUCAGGUUGUUGGCAUCUGUCUGUCUUCAGAGACAAUGGAGUGCACCACCAGGGUUGAAGUCACAGGUGAGAGCUGAGUGCAGGGUGGAGACGAAAGGUGGACAAACUACUGCAGAAGGAAUAUGUGUCUCCCACUAGAGAUACUACCCGUCCUUAGAGCUCAGAAACUACUCACACUAAUGAAAUUCCCUGUUGCAAAAUGUGCCCAGAACAGUGGGAGUUUCAAACACUGCACCCAAGUCAGACCAGUGUUCCAUCUAGCUCACUAUUGUCUGCUGUGACUGGUAGCAGCUCUCCAGGGCUUCAGCCAGGAAGUCUCUCCCAGGAAGUCUCUCCUUCCUGGAGACACUGUGGAUUGCACCUGGGACAUUCUGCAUACAAAUCAGAUGCUCUGCCACUGAACUACAGCCUGUCUCUCCACCACCAGUACCAACAAUGCUUCUUGGGUCACUGAAUCACAUGAGCUGCUUGAUCAUUUUGGUUGCCCCUUUCUGAACCCUUUCCAGCUCUACAGUAUUGUUUUUGAGGGACAGUGACAAGAACGUAUACACAUUAUUCCAAGCAUGGUUGGAUCAUGCAACUCCCAUCAUCAGCAAACUUUUUCAGCAGGGGGCCGGUCCACUGUCCUUCAGACCUUCUGGGGGGCCGGACUAUAUUUUUUGGGGGGGGGGGGGAUGAAUGAAUUCCUAUGCCCCACUAAUAACCCAGAGAUGCAUUUUAAAUAAAAGGACACAUUCUACUCAUGUAAAAACAUGCUGAUUCCCGGACCGUCUGUGGGCCAGAUUUAGAAGGCGAUUGGGCCGGAUCCGGCCCCCGGGCCUUAGUUUGCCUACCCAUGUCCUUGACAGGGCUGCCUGGGGCUGUUAAGAUGUGGAAGUUACAACGUCAGGAGCACAGGUUCACCACACCUGCUCUAAAGGAAGACACCAUUUUGUUGACUUCUUGAAAAUUCACAGAAGUUUCAGAAAUGCAAAAACCAAUACUAAUGAAGGAGUUUGUAAAUAUAGUCUCACGCCCACACCAAUUCUUUUUUCAAUAAACAAAGCAUUUAUUUUAAUUUAAUUAACUCAGAUUCCUAGAAAAUAUGCGUUCCAAGUAUAGCAACCACAACUUCCUGUAGUUUCGUAUGUUUGGGAGGGGGAAGGUAAUUGUUGAAGCAUCACCCCUGCUGCCCUGCAACAUUUCCUCUUAAUUCAGGAUGGAGAAGUUUACUUUCUCAUGUAUUGAUCUGUUGCGAUGAUAGGCACAGAGCCACAGACCCAUUACUCACUCAUUGCACACUCCACCCCCAAAACCUGACAAGUCAUGCUCUUGGAAUGUUUCCUACAGAUUUACCAGCUUUAGGAAACAACUGUAGUUCCUCUACCACCCAUCUGCAUUUCUGUAAAGAGCAAAUACAGGAGAAUUAGAAGGUGGUGGUGGUGUUUUUUUUAAGGGAGAAAUUCCUUUUAGCAGAGAUGACCCAAGAUAGUUUGGUUCCUGAGUCAGAGAACCCCAAAUGGUGACUCCUCUUCUCCACUCUGUCCCACCCUCACCAUGGAAGUAAAAAUAUAAUGAUAAAUCAAAUCUUUAACAAUUCUCCCCUAUUUUAAUGGUCAACCUGCCUUUUAGAUUUUAAACCAUUGCCAAGUCUGCUAAUUUAAGUCUCUCUCUCGGGGCGACGGGGGAAAAUGUGUUGGUAGUUACGUGUUAUUCUGAUCCCCUUGUUGGGUAUGAACAUGGGUUCAAAUUCCAGUCAGCCAUGAAACAGCUUUUGAUAAGUUCGUGCUAAGCACUGUUCCGGUUUGGCAUGACUCAUUGGAUUAUUGUGAGGAUAAAAUACAAUAAUGAUAUAUAACUCAACCUGAUAUGGGGAAGGGCUGACAUUGCCCUGUUAGGACUGGGAAAGAUCACAGCCUGAAACCCUAGAACAGGGGUGAGGCACUCAUAGUCCUUCAAAUGUUGUUGGAAUGCCACUCCCAUCAUCCCUGAUGAUUGAUCAUGCUGGCUGGGGCUGAUGGGAUCUGGAGUCCAACUACAUCUGGAGGGCCUUAAGGAUCCCCACCCCUGUCUUAGACUACUACUCAGGAUAGACAACUAGAUGGAGCAAUGGUCUUGAUGGUAUAAGGCAGCUUGGCGAGUGCUAUUACACUGAGGAACUGCUUACAGGCUUCCCAAAGGCAUCUGGUGGGCUGCUGUGCGAGCAGCAUGCUGGACUAGAUGGGCCUUUGAAGUGAUCCAGCAUGUUCUUUGUAUGUCCUUAUUGGACACCCACAUCCAUUGGUGAUCCACUGCUGACUCCAACCUACCCCUGUCUGGACUUCUAUUUCUCCUUACUUUGUAGUUGCCUGUCUUCUCCAAGCAUGUGAUCAGUGAUGAUAAUGAUAUCAAGGAGGAAGGAGCAGGGACCUCUAUUCACCUAGUCCUCUUUUUCCGACCACUGGUGUAGAUUGAGCACAGAGGGAUGGCAAGCUAGUGGCAAGAAAGGGGGGGGCUUUCUUUUUCUAUCAAGGCCUGUGCUCCCUGUGGUGGUGGUGGGAUAAUCUGUCAGGGAUCAUAUGUCCGCAAUGGGUGGGUCCAGAACCCAAAAUUGGGUGGGUCCACCUCUUCCCCCUCACCCCUUUCUUCCCCCCUCUUUUCUCUCCCCAGGCUUGUGGCAGAUGAGUGAGGGAGAAAGACAAAUCACUCUUGCAAAAUGUCUGAGCUGAUCACUUUGCAGAGGGGCUUUAGAAAUUAGGCCAAAGGCCACAUGAAAUUAAGCUGCAGGUUGUGUCCACCCCGACCGAAGUUCAUGAAGAUAUGAACUGGCUCAUACAAAACUCUGUUGAACAAGAACAUUGGUAAUCUCAUGUAGUAAUUUUGGGGGGGGGGAGACGACAAAUCUAAAUAAUCCGUCACUUAAAAACCCUCUUUUAAAAAAAAAUAAAAACAUGCACUCUUACUUAAUGUACAUUUUGGAAACUCAUUAUUUCUCCCUGAAUCAUUUCAAUGCCAUGCUAGGAAGGAGUGAUUUCAUGCCAUUUUCUCUUCCCUCACCCCCCACCCAAAAAAGUAGGUGGAAUUACUCAGUACUUUGGUAUAAUUGUUCUGAGUCCUUUUUCUGAAUUCGAAGAGAAAAUGUGCAGAAGAGAUGUACAGCAGGCACCCAAUGUGAUGGAAAGGUAUAAUUUGGCCACCUACCACUAGCUGCUGAAAAGUAAUUUUAAAGGCCGGGUGCCGAUCAGGAUUAAUCACCCAGUUCGUUACUGAAAAACACGUCUUUCCUUUCCCACACCUUCGUGUGUUCCUUGCUAAAGAGUGUAAGGAGAGAGAGGAACAACCUCUUUGACCGUAUUUACUUGGGAGAAAGAUAGUCCAGCUCUAACCAAAAGGGUUCCCUUUGUGUUGACACAUUCCAGUGUUCCCUUCCUAUAUAGGACUUGCUUUUGUAGAAAUAAUCCGUGGUCAUUGCUGGUGAUGCAAAGAUAAAAAGUCUGCCCCUGCCCCCUUUCCCUGCAGACUGUUUAUGGGCCCUGUCAGCUCAGUUACCUUCAGUUGAACUCCAUCGAUGGACAUGGCCAAGUGUUCCCCUUCAAAUGAAGGGAGGGUGGUGGUGAGGGGAAGAGCAUUGUUGAAAGGAGGUGACCUCUUCGUCACCCUCUUCUGUCAUCAUGAUGCCUUUAUGGGUGUGUUUUUUAAAAUUCUUUCUGAACCACAACAACUUUCCAUCCUCUUCCCCAGAGACAUAGUGGGGAUUUUUUCUUUUUUUUUUCUUUUCAGCAAUGCACCCUCUCUGUCACUCUUAAGUUUAUUUGACUUAGACUUCAUAGUCAAAAGCUAUGGAGUGCCUCUUUUUUGUUUUUAAUUAAAAAAACAACUUUUAUUUAUUCCUUAUGGAACCAACAGUGUUGUAUUUUCAAAUAUAAUCAGAACUAAGUGGCUCCUCAUAGUGUAGUUGGGCUGACUUGCUGGGAGACCUUGAGCCAGUCACUGUCUCUCAGCCUAACCCACCUCACAUGGUGGUUGCAUGGGUAAUGUGGAGAACAUGUAUGCUACCACGAUGUCCUUGGGGAAAAGCAGGGAGAGGACAUAGAUGCAAUAAGUAAAUACAUGUAACACUCCACCCCAGAGCUGUGCAGCAAGAUUAGUUAUGUUAAAUUCUCUAGAAUAGUCUUUAAUCAAGAAUAUUCUUGAGAAUAUUCUCCAAAUGAGGUGUGUACAUUUAAAGCAGCUGUGUAGACGACACAGAAUUUACAGUUUGUGGAGAAUAUUCUCCAGAGAAUUUUCUAGCAGAGAAUAUUCUCGAGAAUAUUCUCCAAAGAAUUUUCUCACCUCACAUCACUAAGCAAGAUUCUCUCAUUGCAGUUCUCAUACAUGAAUCCUAAGUUAGUCAUGUCCAUUACCUUCAGUGGGUCUGCACUGAGUAGGACUAGCAUUGGACACAGCACAUGAAAAUCAGGUGUGAGAAUUGCCAGUGAAAAGGAAAGAGGUGUGGGUGGAGGAGACUCAGAGAGAAGCAUUAUGUCACCAAGAUUCUCUGCCAGCUGUGAUGGAGCCGGACUAUUGAUGAAUCCCUGGCUGUAGGCCAGUCUUUCCUGGACUCAAAUGUAAUUCAGGGAGAGGGCAGGGGAGGAGAAGGGCGGGAGGAGGGAGAGAGAACCAGACAGAGAAAUUGAUUGUUAGUUUAAUGUGAUUUGACAUCAGGGAAAGUGGAAGUAGAGGACAAGGAAAAGCCACAACCUCAGUGCUACAUUAGCAGCACUUUGACAUUACAGAAUUUAUUGGUGCCCUGUUUCUCUCCUGGAGACAGACUUUUUAGAAUCCUUUCCAGAGCAAGGGAAAUAUGGCCAAGGUUUGUGUAUGAAUGAUAUCUUUGUGUGCAGGAGACACAGCUUGCAGGCACUCUCCCUGCUGCCCCCCCCCCCGGUGGCUCAGCACCUACAGGAAAAGGAUGGAGAGGGCAGAGCAGUCAAACAGCUGGAAGAUGAUAUCCAUCCUUUGUUAAGGCCAUCAGUAAUUUCUCUGGAUGGGGAAAGAUCACAGCUAUGAGUUGUCAAAGUGAUCCAGAAAUGUCCCUGGCUGGUUAUAGAAUCCUGUCCUUGACAAGAAAGCUAUCUAGCAAACUGUAUCUGGGCAAGUUCAACCAUUUGGCUAAGUAAUGAUGUGCAACAGAGCCCAAUUGGACUCCUUAAUGUAGGGUUGUCUCCUGGUAGUGUGGGAAGGGGUACAGACCUUGCUCCUUAAGUUGGGAUUGUCGUAUAUUAUGAAAUCCCUCAAACCUUAGAAAAUGAUGGCUCUUCCAAUGCUGGGUGCUUGCAAUUUGUUCCUUUGCAUCAUCGUACAUAUUACUCCUAAUUCCCUUUCAUGUGUGGUGUUAUCUUGUCGUAGGCUUGUUGAAGUUGUGUGAAGCAUCAUAUUUUGAAGAGAGCAUUUUGGUUAUUGUUUCACACAUGAUGCUUCUCUUGCUUAUGUAACAGCAAAAUACCAACCAAAUGUUGGGAAUGUGUCCUGAGUAUUUGUGCAGGUUGUUGCUGACCACUGUGUGUGUUUAUUUAUAUACACCUUACUUCCCAACAAAACAUUUUACUCAAAGCCAUAAUGUGUAUAUGUGGUGACUGUAUUUUGGACCAAUUGCAAUUUCCAGAACAUAUUUAAAGUCAGCCUUAAAGAUUGCAUCAGGAGUCCAAUCUGGGCAUAACUGGAGCAUGUGUGACCUAGUCCGGGUCUACUAAGCACUGCAAUAUUUCUCGCUUUGGUUUGUUGGUUGCUUGCCAUUCAAAUAGGUAUGGGAGGAGAUUGCAGCUUAUGUCACACACCAAGACACAUUAGGUUCUCUAAAGAGAGUGUUUCUUUUCCUCUCUCUUGUUGGUGGUGUGGUUUAGGAGAAGUAUGCAGACAGGCUUAGAGGUAUGUAAGGGCAUUAUUGUAAGAGAAAAUGUCCCGUCUGAAGUAGCCACGAGACGAGAGCUCUGGGCCUGUGCUUUAUACGGGGCAAGAAAUCCUGUGUUGUUUGCUAAUUCUCUCCCAGACUGGAAAAUACUUCACGUCUGUCCUCGCGGAAAACAUGUCAUGAAAGAGUGUUUGUACGAGAGGCAUCUUUGUUCAUUGUUCCCCUCAGCCAGUGUAACUUGACAUAUUCUGCAUUAAAGGCGGAGGUACCUUGAAAACGGCAUUUUGUUUUGCUUUUUAAAGAAAGAAAGAAAGAGAAAGAAAGGAAAGGAAAAAACAGCUCACAGUCAUGGAACUGGAAAGCCACCCCAAGGACCAGGUCCUGAGCAGCGCUAUGAAGCUAGAGCCAGAUGUGAAGACUGGUCUCGAGGACUUUAACAGGACAGCAUUGACCACUGUGUUAUUUCCCCCCUUGCCUCCAUACCAUACUUCAGUCUCCAUAACUUCCACCCUUCUUUGCUAUCAGCUUCACACCAUCAUCUUUUGUGGAAGCUUAAGCUGUUUAUGGAUGAUAUUGCUAUCAGUGGCUACUAGCCAUGAUGAGUGUAGUGUCUGAGGCAACAAGUCUCUGAAUACCAGUUGCUGUUGCACUCAUGUCUUGCUUUCAGGCUUCUCAGAGCAACCCAGAUGACCACUGUGAGAAUAGGGUGCUGGACUAUUUUGAUGUAUCCAGUUUGGACAUCUUUAAAAGAAUAUUAGGCAAUUCAUGGAGGAUAAAUCUUUCAAUGACUACUGGGCCCAGUGUCUAUGUUCUCCCUCCACUGUUAGAGGCAAUAUGCCUCUGCAUUCCAGUUGCUGAGAAUCAAAGUGGAGGAGAGUUGCUAUUGAACUCUCUGUUCCUACUUUGGGGCUUCCUUCAGGUGUCUGGUUGGUCACUAUGAAAAGAGGAUGCUGGUCUGGAUGGUUCUUUCAACCUGAUCUUGCAGGACUGCUCUUAUGUUUGCACAUGUUAGCAUUUUCCUCCUCUUCUCUCUCUCUCUCCUCUCCUCUCCUCUCUCCCCCCCCCCCCCCGCCUCCCAUGGAGCUUUGAGGUUUCUGAAUGCAGUAAAUAACAUUUUUACUACCUUCUGUUGCGGAAAGGGCAUGUCUAACCUCACAUUUCCAAAUAGGCAUAUCUUGAUGGUCCAGGCCAGCUGUAAAGUAUGAUCCAAGAUCAUACUAUGACUCUCAUGUUACACACAGAAGCAGGAGAUCAAGUAUGUCAUGCAGGGGAGUGAGGAAGACACACACUUGUGACAUAGGUAGCAGUACUCAGAAUACACUCAUUGAAAAUAGCGGCUAUUACUAACAAGUCUCUUGAUUGAACAUUGGCUGUAUUCUGCAAUCCAGUGUGGUAUAGUGGUUGAAGUGUUGAACUAGGAGAUCAGCUGGGUUCAAAUUCCCACUCAGACAUUUGGGAUAAAGCUGCUUCCUAUAUUCCCAUGCAGGAUGGUACUUCCUUAAAAGAAGGUACUUGGUGGGUUGGAGUCCACAACCCAGGUUGGGUAUGGUUUAGGUUGGAGGUUGGUGCUUUUGGCCAAAUGUGAGGGUUUUCUUUUGCACCCUGGCUUUUUGAGCGACUGGACUACUUCCACCCUUGUUACACAAAUGUCAAAUUUGUCCCUAAUAUUCUCUUGAAUCUUUUAUGGCACUCCAAUGUUGUCAAGAGAAGCUGCUCUCAAUUUCUAACAAAUGCCUUCUCCACCCUCGCAUAGUUCUUAAAAGUUCUGCAGGGUAGGGACUAUGAAGGCUACUGUAGGUGAAACAUGAAAGGUGAUUGCGUGUUUUCUUCCAUUCAGAUAAGAGUGUGUUUUUUAAAAAACAAAAGGGUUGUAUGUUUGAGGUGUGGCAUUGUUGGUUUCUUUCUUUUACCCUGGUGUUGACGAAGCAAGUUUCUGUGAGCCAGUGUGGGAGUUGGAGAGCAGGAAGGAGAGGGUUGAUUUGGCAGGUUGAUCAAACGAAGGUUUUAAUCCAUUUUCAAUCCAUCUGCCCUCUUAUUACUCUCCAAUCUUCUUUUGAAGAUGUUGUGGGUCUCUUUACAGCGAUUAAAGCACAAUCCAGUUACGUGGAUUCUGACGGCGUGCAUCCCAGCCUCUUCAUCCCCUCCACCCCAGAUGCCCCAUAUUUUAUGGUAGGGAAAAAGUGAGAGAGAGAAAGCAAAUGGUAUUAGCUAGAACUACCUGUUUGUACUGAAUAGAAGCUUACAGGAGAACAUAAUAAUGUUUGAAAGGAACACUACAGGUAGUGCAUAAACCUUCUGCAAGGAGCACCAGCUACUUCAGGCCUCUGGGUGCAUGUUAUGUCCCAAACUACCAUGGAGCUGUCUUUCCUUAGGCAAACAGCUAACAACUACUGCACCAGAGUCCUUCAUUUAAAAUUAAUUCUCAUUGUGUGGCUGUGGAGAGUACUUAAAAAUCCAGAGAGCCACUCAACAUGUUUGUUUGCUUGUAUCUGUAGUUAGAUUGAUGAAUAAGGUCUACUUCAUGUAUAGAAUCUAUCUAAGGGACCCAAGUUAGUCAUGUCUAUUAAUUUCAGUGUGUCUACUCUGAUUGGAUUAGCAGUGGCUACAACCCUAUAUCUUCUCAAUCUCUCUCUAAUGACCCUUCCAUCGUAUGCUCACAACUGGACCUUUUAGGAAAGCUUUUCAGCCAUUACUGUUUCUUUGGUUCUACAUUUUACAAAAUGCUUUUAACUGCUGUGGUUAAAUAAUUUUUUGGUGAUUUGGGUAUUCUCUCCAGAUGCCUUGAGUGGCAAAGACGUUUCUCUGCUACUGUAGUGCUUUAGUUAUUUAAGUUACUUUGUUAGGUGCCUUGGGCUGGUUGAAGAAAAUAGGGUGUGUAGAUUGUAUGUGUGUGUGUUUAUGUUUGCCCUCUCCUUUCCCCCUCCUGCCUCUCUUGUCUUCCUGACAUUCAAAAGUUAAAGUUCUCUAGACUUUGGAGCCAUAUGCUUCAUUUGGGUUCUGCUAAUAAUGUGAAGCAGGGUGGGAAAACUUUUCCAGCCUGUUGUUGUUGUUUAUUAAAUUUGUGCAUAGCCCUUCACCCAUAGAUCUCAGGGCAGUUGGUAACAU
Molecule: non-coding RNA, 14612 nt
Organism: Podarcis lilfordi (Lilford's wall lizard)
Lineage: Eukaryota; Metazoa; Chordata; Lepidosauria; Squamata; Lacertidae
Source: the annotation of a GenBank genome assembly